AGUGAACGCUGGCGGCAGGCCUAACACAUGCAAGUCGAACGGCAGCACAGUAAGAGCUUGCUCUUACGGGUGGCGAGUGGCGGACGGGUGAGGAAUACAUCGGAACCUUCUUUUUCGUGGGGGAUAACGAAGGGAAACUUACGCUAAUACCGCAUACGAUCUACGGGUGAAAGCAGGGGAUCUUCGCACCUUUUGCGACUGAACUAGCCGAUGACGGAUUAGCUAGUUGGCGGGGUAAAGGCCCACCAUGUCGACGAUCCGUAGCUGGGCGGAGAGGAUGAUCGGCCACACUGGAACUGAGACACGGUCCAGACUCCUACGGGAGGCAGCAGUGGGGAAUAUGAGGCAAAGGGCGGAAGCCUGAUCCAACCAUACCGCGUGGGUGAAGAAGGCCUUCGGGUUGUAAAGCCCUUUUGUUGGGAAAGAAAAGCAGCAGGUUAAUACCCCGCUGUUCUGACGGUACCCAAAGAAUAAGCACCGGCUAACUUCGUG
RNAcentral lists this ribosomal RNA (492 nucleotides) under uncultured bacterium. RNAcentral describes it as "partial 16S ribosomal RNA". It matches the Rfam family "Bacterial small subunit ribosomal RNA", at positions 29 to 507 of the family's 1533-position model. The record is from RNAcentral.